Molecule: small nuclear RNA, 191 nt
Organism: Choloepus didactylus (southern two-toed sloth)
Lineage: Eukaryota; Metazoa; Chordata; Mammalia; Pilosa; Megalonychidae
Product: U2 spliceosomal RNA
Exons: 1
Source: RefSeq, a predicted model, not a curated record
AUCGCUUCUCGGCCUUUUGGGUAAGAUCAAGUGUAAUAUCUGUUUUUAUCAGUUUAAUAUCUGAUACGUCUUCUAUCCGAGGACAAUGUAUUCAACGGGUUUUUGAAGCUAGGAGUUGGACUAGGGGCUCGUUCCGUGCACUCCACGCAUCGCCCCGUUAUUGCAGUACUUCUGGGAACGGUGCACUCUUC